Molecule: long non-coding RNA, 408 nt
Filed under: Gossypium raimondii (Peruvian cotton)
Lineage: Eukaryota; Viridiplantae; Streptophyta; Magnoliopsida; Malvales; Malvaceae
Description: long non-coding RNA (GRAI_LNC004820)
Source: RNAcentral
AAAAAUAUUAAAAAUAUCAAAAUAAAUAUUUCUCAAUAAAUUGAAAAUAAAUUUUAAAAAAUAUGUAUACUUAAAUAACACUAAGAUAGAUGUAACUUAACAAGCAAAUGCCUAUAAAAAAAUAACAAAAUUAACAAAUGUCUUUAAAAUAAUAACAAAAUUAACAGUAAAAUAAGUUUUAUAUAAAAUCCAAACAAUAACAACAAAAUAGUAGCAAUAUAAUAGUAAAAUGGUAGCAAAAUAGGGAGAAAACAAUAAGAAAAUAAUAUUAAAAAACAAAAAAAAAUUGUCCUUUAAUGAAUUCAGGCUGGGCCAAAAAUGCCUUACCCGAGGUCCGGCCCAUUUUCUAAACGGGAGUUAUUUUUUUGUCCAAACUCAUUUUUUGGGCCUAUAUUUUUAUCUAAAUCC